RNAcentral lists this transfer RNA (73 nucleotides) under Sarcophilus harrisii (Tasmanian devil). Its description in RNAcentral is "tRNA (ENSSHAG00000020424.2)". It matches the Rfam family "tRNA". From Rfam's summary of the family: Transfer RNA (tRNA) molecules are approximately 80 nucleotides in length. Their secondary structure includes four short double-helical elements and three loops (D, anti-codon, and T loops). Lineage: Eukaryota; Metazoa; Chordata; Mammalia; Dasyuromorphia; Dasyuridae. The record is from RNAcentral.
UUAAGAUGGCAGAGCCGGUAAUUGCAUAAAGCUUAAGCCUUUACUCCCAGAGGUUCAAACCCUCUUCUUAAUA